RNAcentral lists this ribosomal RNA (301 nucleotides) under uncultured bacterium. RNAcentral's name for it is "partial 16S ribosomal RNA". It matches the Rfam family "Bacterial small subunit ribosomal RNA", at positions 509 to 807 of the family's 1533-position model. The record is from RNAcentral.
CAGCAGCCACGGUAAUACGAAGGGGGCUAGCGUUGUUCGGAUUUACUGGGCGUAAAGCGCACGUAGGCGGACUUUUAAGUCAGGGGUGAAAUCCCGGGGCUCAACCCCGGAACUGCCUUUGAUACUGGAAGUCUUGAGUAUGGUAGAGGUGAGCGGAAUUCCGAGUGUAGAGGUGAAAUUCGUAGAUAUUCGGAGGAACACCAGUGGCGAAGGCGGCUCACUGGACCAUUACUGACGCUGAGGUGCGAAAGCGUGGGGAGCAAACAGGAUUAGAUACCCGCGUAGUCCCUGUCUCUUAUAC